GACGCGUCAGCAGCCUCGCUCCAGCGGCUUCCCACAUCCUUGAGUAACCACCACACAAAGGUGCUGGGCAUGAGACCAAGGGUGCGGCGGAGAUCGAAUUAGUAAUACACACUCGGUGACCCUCCCCAGCCAGGUUUCACUGUGCGCUUAUGACCAACACUCAUCCCUUCCUUAGCAUAUGUGGUGUCUUUAAGAGCCAAGUAAAAAGGAACGAGGCAGCGAGAAGCCAGAUUCUGCCGGAGACAGAGCAGAGAGCCAAACCAUCGCCACUUACUGGUGUAUGAACCGCGGCAAGGCUCUCUACAACCUUGCACCUCGACGUGUGGUCUGUGGACCAGAAACAUUGUCAUCACCUGGAAGCUUCUUGGAAAUGGAAAAUCCUAGGCCACCUCCUAGACUGAUGGAAGCCACAUCAGCAUUUUAACAAGACACCCCGGUGAUUCCAUGGUGCAUUCUUACCCACAUUAAAUUUUGACACCCCAUAAAAAUUCACUCUUCUGAAGCAGAAUUCACCUCUCUCUAGUAAAGAACUUCAAUUUUUAUAAUGUGUCAAUGAAUGAAAAUGUAAAACCUAGUAAGAGAAAAUGGAAGGACUUGUUCAUGCAACUGGUAAUUAAACAAAUGGGAAUGAAACUUGGCUAAGGAGAGAGGAUGAAGAGGAUUAAACUCAUAAAAGCAAGUUGGGGGUUCAAAUGAGAUUUCUGGGAAGGCAUCAGUUGAACUCUGCAGUGAAUGGCUGACCUGUUUUCAUUUAAUAGCUGUUUUCAUGGUUACUUCCCUCUCAGGGAUGCCCCGUCCCUAUAGUCACGCACAUAUUAGGUCAGUAUGCUCAGCAAAAAACACCCAAGGACCAAAAAGCUUUGUGGACAUCAGGUUACAAGCUGUAUUCUGCCCCUCCCUGCCCCCCAGCCUCUCACCAUCUUAGAAAGGCAGGACCUGUGUCAUCACUGAAAGCAACGGCAUGUUGAUAUUUCCUUUUUUUUUUUUUUUUGAGACGGAGUCUCGCUCUGUCGCCCAGGCUGGAGUGCAGUGGCGCGAUCUCGGCUCACUGCAAGCUCCGCCUCCCGGGUUCACGCCAUUCUCCUGCCUCAGCCUCUCCGAGUAGCUGGGACUACAGGCGCCCGCCACCGCGCCCGGCUAAUUUUUUGUAUUUUUACUACAGACGGGGUUUCAUCAUGUUAGCCAGGAUGGUCUCGAUCUCCUUACCUCGUGAUCCGCCCGCCUUGGCCUCCCAAAGUGCUGGGAUUACAGGCGUGAGCCACCGCGCUCGGCCGGCAUGUGGAUAUUUCAACCCAACCCAACACUACUGUUGGGCGAAGGCCUCGGGUGUCCAGGGAACAGAAGCCUUUGCAAGCUGGAGGGUGCAGGCCCUGCACGUUCUGCACCACCAAGAGAACAUCGGGGGUUCUCUUGUUCCGUGGUUUUACAAUCUUGUUUUGUAGCCCAGUUCUGGCAAUGCUGCCCGGACCAUUCUCCUCUCAGGACCUUCUUCUACAGUCCGCCCAGAAGCAGAGCCCCACAGGGCGAUAUAGGUGCUUCUGACUUUGGCUUAUGAAAUCAGCCAAUAUUGUCCAAGAUAAACUCUGAUCUAAACAACAACAAAAAAACCUCAAAGUAUAAAAUGUGUGUCUCUACAAGCAACACCACUGUUAGAAUGUCAGGGCUGAGAGACCUCAUUUAUUGGAACAGGCCUUCACCUGUGAUCAAUUACCAACAGGAGGCAG
This is a long non-coding RNA of Symphalangus syndactylus (siamang), 1724 nucleotides long. RefSeq lists it as uncharacterized. The record is from RefSeq and is a predicted model, not a curated record. Lineage: Eukaryota; Metazoa; Chordata; Mammalia; Primates; Hylobatidae.